Molecule: long non-coding RNA, 301 nt
Organism: Acanthochromis polyacanthus (spiny chromis)
Lineage: Eukaryota; Metazoa; Chordata; Actinopteri; Pomacentridae
Exons: 3
Source: RefSeq, a predicted model, not a curated record
GCUAUAAUCCCUAUGCCGAUCUCACUCACACCUGGAAUCGAACCCCGGCCUCCCAGGUGCCAGCCAGUCACUCUACCCACUGAGCUAUACUCCCUAUGCCUAUCUCACUCACUCAGUUAGCUAUACUCCCGAUGCCUAUCUCACUCACUGAGCUAUACUCCCGAUGCCGAUCUCACUCACACCUGGAAUCGAACCCCGGCCUCCCAGGUGCCAGCCAGUCACUCUACCCACUGAGCUAUACUCCCUAUGCCUAUCUCACUCACUCAGUUAGCAUGACUCCCGAUGCCUAUCUCACUCACCC